This 775-nucleotide ribosomal RNA is filed under the name uncultured Neocallimastigales. RNAcentral describes it as "partial large subunit ribosomal RNA". It matches the Rfam family "Eukaryotic large subunit ribosomal RNA", at positions 20 to 639 of the family's 3401-position model. The record is from RNAcentral. Lineage: Eukaryota; Fungi; Neocallimastigomycota; Neocallimastigomycetes; Neocallimastigales.
CAUCACUACGCUAGAUGCAUAUCAAUAAGCGGAGGAAAAGAAACUAACUAGGAUUCCCUCAGUAACGGCGAGUGAAGCGGGAAGAGCUCAAAUUUGAAAUCUUCAAGGUUUUACCUUGACGAAUUGUAGUUUAAAGAAGUGUUUUCUGUUGAAGUUUUGGUAAAAGUUCUUUGGAAUAGGACAUCAUAGAGGGUGAGAAUCCCGUAUUUGACCGUUACUUUCCAGCUGUGUGAUACACUUUCAAAGAGUCGGAUUGUUUGGGAAUGCAGUCCAAGAUGGGUGGUAAAUUUCAUCUAAAGCUAAAUAUUGGCGAGAGACCGAUAGCGAACAAGUACCGUGAGGGAAAGAUGAAAAGAACUUUGAAAAGAGAGUUAAACAGUACGUGAAAUUGUCAAAAGGGAAGCGUUUGACACCAGUGUUGUUUAGUUGAAAAUCAAUUCAAUAGUUUUUGAUUCUAAGUAGUAUUGACUUCAUCAGCUUGCUGCUUUCUUCUCAGAAAUUAUUGAAUGCACUUUUCAGUUAACAAGUCAACAUCAAUUUCUUUUGUUGUAAAAGGGUAAGAGGAAGGUGGCUUGCGCUUCGGCUCAAGUGUUUAUAGCCUUUUAUCUCUGCAAUCGGAGAGAUUGAGGUCUGCAGCGUAGAUCCUUCGGGGUUAGAUACAUUGGUGCUAAGCUAUAGCCUUGUAUAGACAACUUGUUGACUAUGCUCAGUCAUGUAGCUUACUCGCUGAUGCUAUUUUACCUACGCUUAGGAUGUUGACGCGCGUGUGUGCGUG